GGAUUAGGCAUGCAAGUCGCACGAGAAAGGCUUCUUCGGAAGCCGAGUAAAGUGGCGAACGGGUGAGUAAUGCAUAGACAACUUGCCCUUGAGAUGGGGACAACGCCUCGAAAGGGGUGCUAAUACACAAUGCCGCCUUGGGCCUGCGGGUCCAGGGUGAAAAGGAGGCCUCUGAUUCAAGCUUCCGCUCAAGGAGAGGUUUAUGUCCUAUUAGCUAGUUGGCGGGGUAAUGGCCCACCAAGGCUGCGAUGGGUAGCCGACCUGAGAGGGUGACCGGCCACAUUGGGACUGAGACACUGCCCAGACUCCUACGGGAGGCUGCAGUCGAGAAUCUUCCGCAAUGCGCGCAAGCGUGACGGAGCGACGCCGCGUGGGUGAUGAAGGCCUUCGGGUUGUAAAACCCUGUCAGCUACUACGAAACACGGGCGAUGAACAAUCGUCCCGUCUGACUUAAGCAGCAGAGGAAGCACCGGCUAACUACGUGCCAGCAGCCGCGGUAAUACGUAGGGUGCAAACGUUGUUCGGAAUCACUGGGCAUAAAGGGCGCGUAGGCGGUCUGAUAAGUCAGGUGUGAAAUCCCUCGGCCUAACCGAGGAACUGCAUUUGAUACUGUCGGGCUAGAGUACAGGAGGGGAGAGUGGAAUUCCUGGUGGAGCGGUGAAAUGCGUAGAUAUCAGGAGGAACGCCGGCGGCGAAAGCGACUCUCUGGCCCGUUACUGACGCUGAGGCGCGAAAGCUAGGGGAGCAAACGGGAUUAGAUACCCCGGUAGUCCUAGCCCUAAACGAUGGGCACUAAGUAGAGGGGUUUU
RNAcentral lists this ribosomal RNA (809 nucleotides) under uncultured Planctomycetota bacterium. RNAcentral describes it as "bacterial SSU rRNA". It matches the Rfam family "Bacterial small subunit ribosomal RNA", at positions 46 to 832 of the family's 1533-position model. The record is from RNAcentral. Lineage: Bacteria; Pseudomonadati; Planctomycetota.